UACGUAGGGUGCAAGCGUUGUCCGGAAUUAUUGGGCGUAAAGAGCUCGUAGGCGGUUUGUUGCGUCGGCUGUGAAAUCCCGAGGCUCAACCUCGGGUCUGCAGUCGAUACGAGCAAACUAGAGUGUUGCAGGGGAGACUGGAAUUCCUGGUGUAGCGGUGAAAUGCGCAGAUAUCAGGAGGAACACCGAUGGCGAAGGCGGGUCUCUGGGCAACAACUGACGCUGAGGAGCGAAAGCGUGGGGAGCGAACAGG
This 253-nucleotide ribosomal RNA is filed under the name uncultured bacterium. Its description in RNAcentral is "partial 16S ribosomal RNA". It matches the Rfam family "Bacterial small subunit ribosomal RNA", at positions 524 to 776 of the family's 1533-position model. The record is from RNAcentral.